GUGGACAUAGAAUCAGUCAUCUACAUUUUAGAUAAUUAUGAUUUUGUCAAUGUGGUAUUAGGAGGUGACUCAAAUUUGCAAUCAUAUGGAUUUGGAUUCUGCGGAAUCCACUUAGGCCAUAGCUAAUCUUGAUUAUCCUGCAAUUUCAGGAAUGAAUCACAUUCAUCAAUAUUUUAUUUGGUAGUAAUGAUUGGAAGAAAAAUGUUACUGAAAAA
Asparagus officinalis (garden asparagus) is the source of this 215-nucleotide long non-coding RNA. RefSeq lists it as uncharacterized. The record is from RefSeq and is a predicted model, not a curated record. The transcript has 2 exons. NCBI's taxonomy places the organism in Eukaryota, Viridiplantae, Streptophyta, Magnoliopsida, Asparagales, Asparagaceae.